This is a long non-coding RNA of Brienomyrus brachyistius, 1601 nucleotides long. RefSeq lists it as uncharacterized. The transcript is spliced from 3 exons. The record is from RefSeq and is a predicted model, not a curated record. NCBI's taxonomy places the organism in Eukaryota, Metazoa, Chordata, Actinopteri, Osteoglossiformes, Mormyridae.
CGUUAACUGAUUCCAUAUGACCAACAACCGUCACGGCAAAUGGUUGCCAACUUCGGUCAACUGGCUGGCAUGAGAUUUUCAAUUCAAGUCUUUACGUGACAAAGGACCCCAGCAUUUUAAAUUCCAUUCAUGGUUCUGAGUGCGGAUGGGACCGUGUGAAGCCAAAGGACACAGAGUGAGUAUGUCAGGUCCACUUUUUGCCAGGAAAGAAGUGAGUUGUAGAAGCUUAGCAUGCUAUUCAUUAACCAAGGUCAACUGAUGCCUUUAAAUGUUUGUAAAGAUAAGUUUGUUAUCCGUGGGAAAAUCCACGCGAAAUUCUCAUAAGAACUUCGGUCAGCUGCCUUUACUCAGUGAGGGUCCUGAGUUUGACUUUGGAUUUUAUGGUGUGUUUACCAACACGUACUUUUCCUGAUUGCAAAAUAUGUAUUUUGAUAAAUACUUUCGUAACUUAACAGCCUUUUCACACAAAAGUUAGAAUGUUUAGACUUUUGAAUGGAUUUCCGAAAAAUGCCGUUUGUCAUCCAGCUGUUACAUUUCUAGGAGUUUCUAAUUCUCCUUUGUAACAAAAGAUUUAAAAAUAAGAAAAGCAUAUGGAUCACUAGUCAUCAUUCUAGACAUUUUUCGAUUUCAUUUUGUACUUUAUAAUUGGCUGGUACCUACUAUUAAAUAUUAUAACUGGCCUGAAUCUUCUUUAAAAGCUGUGUUCUGACCUUGUUUUCAGUUUGCCUAGUUAUCUGUAAUUGAGAUGUCUUUUGAAAUUACACUGAUGACAGUCUAAAGUGUUAUCACAGGGUGGAAAUGAUUAAAUGCAAUGGGUCUGUAAUUUAAGUACACAUUUACCAGAAGAUCUGAAUGUUAUGAUAAAGUAUCUCUGAGGAUUUUGUUUUUAAAAAAACUGACAUCAAAGAGAACUGACACCACCAUACAGAUACUGAGAUCAUUGCAACCCCAUUAAAAACUAGUUCAAGUUCCUAGCCAGUUUGCAUAGCUUUUAUAGUUUUGGUUAAUGUUUGUUUAGCAUUAAUCAUUCAUUGAAAAGGGUCUAGGGAGGCACCCUCCUUUUUCAACCUCUUGAACAAUCACAUUUUUGAGUUCUGAGUGAUAAUGGACUUGUAUUUAAUGAGACAAGCUGCUGACUGGCCCCAAAGCAGCUUAUGCUUGUGUCCUUGGUCCGGGUGCUAAGGGUUUUAGUUUUAAGGCAAUCACAGCUGAAACUAGUCCCAGUCACCCAAGCAGUCUGGAGUACCCCUCCACUGUUGACUCAUGGGUGACUCAGCAUGAUGUCACACCUACUUCAGGAGGCAUGGCAACAAUUCACAAAUGGGCAGAGGUGGCGUGACCAAGUCCAAGAGUCUAAAGGCAAGCAUACAGGCAGUUAAGCAUGAUAUUAGAUCCUAAUCUUCCAUUCUGUGCAGAAAAACUGAGGUUCAAAGGUUAGCUAGGGCCUUGGGCACGCUGAACUGUGGAGUCUAACAAGAAAACAAGUAUUUAUGACCCUAGAAAAAGCAUUUAGCUUCUUUCUGCUUUUCCUAACUUGACACAUGAAGUGUGAGUAAGCAUGGACAGUGAUGCUGGACAGUCCAUCCAGGUGGCACACUUGU